GUUCCUGGGGUGUUCUUCACCCCCAGUGUCAAUAAAAUGGAGGUUCCAAUUGGGAAUCGUCUUGUUCGAGAGUGUGUAUUUCGUCGAGGUACAGGACCGUACUGUCAGUGGUAUUUUCAAAGGUAAGCCUUAAACAAUGCCAGCAGGAAUUACAACUUUAGCUUGGACAGGAGAGAGCUGGCCAUUGAGUCCUUCCAGUCCCAGCACCAAGGCAGAUACCAGUGCGUCGUGAUCAAUAGGGGUUGGGACGAUAUUUAAUGUGACCAGGAAUUCCAUCAACCUCACAGAGCCAGGGCAAGGUGAACAGUGCAGAUCCUGGUACCACUCGAGACCUGAGCUCCUUCCAGUCUUUUUCUGUUUCCCAAAUUCUAAAACAUUUCAGUGAGAUAAAAUAAACUCACCAACAGAUGGACAUCUCCACAAAUGGAAUGAUUACACAGUUCAAUGUCCAGCUCCCAAUAUAUUAACUGUUG
Molecule: non-coding RNA, 473 nt
Organism: Chiloscyllium plagiosum (whitespotted bambooshark)
Lineage: Eukaryota; Metazoa; Chordata; Chondrichthyes; Orectolobiformes; Hemiscylliidae
Source: RefSeq, a predicted model, not a curated record